UUCCCCCAGUCCCCACCCCCACAGUUCCCUUCAGGUCAAUACUGCAGGAUUUGACCUGGCCCUUUCCUUCCCCCUACACUCACACUUGGAUGUCUGUAGCCUCUUGUGUGGAGAACGGUGACCUGAGUCUCCGUAGAUGGCUUUAAGGCUCCCAUCGGAGAGCAGCAGCCAUGGCCCUGCCCUACCCGAUGGUUGUGGCUUCUUCAAUAAGGGCCACAAGGUGAGGAAGGGCGUCAGCACCCUACAAGCGGCACAUCCUGGAGCUUCUCAAGGUGUCUAAGGACAAGCACACGCUCAAGUUCAUCAAGAAGAGGGUGGGCAUGCACAGCCGUGCCCAGAGGAAGCAGGAGGAGCUGAGCAAAGCGCUGGCAGCUAUGUGGCCAAGAAGGACUGAUGCCCUCUCCCCGCUAUAAACAAAAAAGGCAAACAAACAAACAAACAACAACCUGACACUUUUCUGAAGGGGAUAUACAGACACAUAAAAAGAUCUUUUAAGGA
Molecule: long non-coding RNA, 498 nt
Organism: Meriones unguiculatus (Mongolian gerbil)
Lineage: Eukaryota; Metazoa; Chordata; Mammalia; Rodentia; Muridae
Exons: 2
Source: RefSeq, a predicted model, not a curated record